GGUUCACAGAACAGGCAGCCCCUGCCAGGGAAUCCUGGGUGUGGCCGAUGCUCAACUUGGCUUGUUUAUGCCAAAUCUGGUCUUACCGCAGGGUCUUUUCUGCUCUAUGAAGCCCGGAAGGUGGAGAGGGGUGCAAAUGCUGAACUCUCCUAUGCUCAAAGCAACCCAGUGCAUUAUCUCUGUGGGAGUCACCCACACCCUGCUCUGGCGCCCUUAAAAUAAAGGCAACAGCACCGAAGGAAAGGAGGGGGUGAUGAAGGAGAGGGCAUGAGGCCAACUCGGUGGUGCAGGACGUAAGGAAGGCACACAGAAGAUGCCCGGUUUCUGAAGGAGGGACGCCCCGACACCUUGGGAGAAGCUGCCCCCUGCCGCCUUCCCUGCCAUGGACCUAUUUGCCCGCUUUGAGGAGUUCCUGGACAUCGUGGUGUGCUUGGGGUUCCUCUACUUCCUCUCAUACAGCUCCCUCUUCCUCUUCUACUUCUUCCUCCUCGUGCCUUUGGCCUUCAUCUUUGAGGGAGAGGAGACACUGAGAGCGGCAACCUCCUUCCUGCAAUCUCCAGCUCAAUAAAGGGUGAAUUUGAAUACA
Podarcis raffonei (Aeolian wall lizard) is the source of this 586-nucleotide long non-coding RNA. RefSeq lists it as uncharacterized. The transcript has 2 exons. The record is from RefSeq and is a predicted model, not a curated record. NCBI's taxonomy places the organism in Eukaryota, Metazoa, Chordata, Lepidosauria, Squamata, Lacertidae.